ACUUGUGACCUUUUAGGAGAAAACACAUGUUCUUAACCAUUAGAACUCCACAAUUAAGUGCGCUUAGGCUAGAUUAGUACUGGGAUGGGUGAUCUCCCGAGAAGUCCUAAUGUUUUACAUGCC
Molecule: non-coding RNA, 123 nt
Organism: Picea glauca (white spruce)
Lineage: Eukaryota; Viridiplantae; Streptophyta; Pinopsida; Pinales; Pinaceae
Source: Rfam